This 543-nucleotide ribosomal RNA is filed under the name uncultured Glomeromycotina. Its description in RNAcentral is "SSU rRNA". It matches the Rfam family "Eukaryotic small subunit ribosomal RNA", at positions 548 to 1097 of the family's 1831-position model. The record is from RNAcentral. Lineage: Eukaryota; Fungi; Glomeromycota.
UUGGAGGGCAAGUCUGGUGCCAGCAGCCGCGGUAAUUCCAGCUCCAAUAGCGUAUAUUAAAGUUGUUGCAGUUAAAAAGCUCGUAGUUGAAUUUCGGGGUUCUACCGUUGGUCGGGCUUUGUCUGUACUGGUGUGUAGAAUUUCUACCUUCUGGGGAACCAUCAUGCUAUUAAUUUAGCGUGGUGGGAAACCAGGACCUUUACCUUGAAAAAAUUAGUGUGUUCAAAGCAGGCUUAUGUCUGAAUACAUUAGCGUGGAAUAAUAGAAUAGGACGGUGGUCCUGUUUUGUUGGUUUCUGAAUCACCGUAAUGAUUAAUAGGGAUAGUUGGGGGCAUUAGUAUUCAAUUGUCAGAGGUGGAAUUCUUGGAUUUAUUGAAGACUAACUUCUGCGAAAGCAUUUGCCAAGGAUGUUUUCAUUAAUCAAGAACGAAAGUUAGGGGAUCGAAGACGAUCAGAUACCGUCGUAGUCUUAACCAUAAACUAUGCCGACUAGGGAUCGGACGAUGUUAAUUUUUCUUGACUCGUUCGGCGCCUUACGGGAAA